RNAcentral lists this long non-coding RNA (297 nucleotides) under Marmota monax (woodchuck). Lineage: Eukaryota; Metazoa; Chordata; Mammalia; Rodentia; Sciuridae. The record is from RNAcentral.
GGAUAUUUUUGUGCCCCCCACCCCCCUUGGUUUGAGCAGGGAGCCAGAGCACACAGCCUGUUUGUUUUAGUAUCCAGGGAAAAGACCAAGGAACCAGCUGGCUGGAAGAGAUGGGGGUGUGCAGUUCUGCCCUGUCCUUCUGCUCAUAACCUGACAAAAUGCCAAACCAAUAAGCAGGACAGCUGAUCCCAUGGCUAUGAGGAAAUUGGCUCUGAGAGGGCACAGACACUUGGAGCUUCAGCAUGGAGUUUCAAGCCUUAGAAAUGAAGGCUAUUCCUUACCUAAGGGAGAAAGAGU